ACACGACCGUACCGCAAACCGACACUGGUGCGCGAGAUGAGUAUUCUAAGGCGCUUGAGAGAACUCAGGAGAAGGAACUCGGCAAAUUGACACCGUAACUUCGGAAGAAGGUGUGCCCUAUUAGUGUGAAGCGAACAGCGGAGCAUGAACGGGUUGCAAAAAAUCGGUGGCUGCGACUGUUUAUUAAAAACACAGCACUCUGCAAACACGAAAGUGGACGUAUAGGGUGUGACGCCUGCCCGGUGCUGGAAGAUUAAAUGAUGGGGUGCAAGCUCUUGAUUGAAGUCCCAGUAAACGGCGGCCGUAACAAUAACGGUCCUAAGGUAGCGAAAUUCCUUGUCGGGUAAGUUCCGACCUGCACGAAUGGCGUAACGAUGGCCACACUGUCUCCUCCUGAGACUCAGCGAAGUUGAAAUGUUUGUGAUGAUGCAAUCUCCCCGCGGAAAGACGGAAAGACCCCAUGAACCUUUACUGUAGCUUUGUAUUGGACUUUGAACAGAUCUGUGUAGGAUAGGUGGGAGGCUUUGAAGCAGGGUCGCUAGAUCUUGUGGAGCCAACGUUGAAAUACCACCCUGGUGUGUUUGAGGUUCUAACCUAGGUCCAUUAUCUGGAUCGGGGACAGUGCAUGGUAGGCAGUUUGACUGGGGCGGUCUCCUCCCAAAGCGUAACGGAGGAGUUCGAAGGUACGCUAGUUACGGUCGGACAUCGUGACGAUAGUGCAAUGGCAUAAGCGUGCUUAACUGCGAGACUGACAAGUCGAGCAGAUGCGAAAGCAGGACAUAGUGAUCCGGUGGUUCUGUAUGGAAGGGCCAUCGCUCAACGGAUAAAAGGUACUCUGGGGAUAACAGGCUGAUACCGCCCAAGAGUUCAUAUCGACGGCGGUGUUUGGCACCUCGAUGUCGGCUCAUCUCAUCCUGGGGCUGUAGCCGGUCCCAAGGGUAUGGCUGUUCGCCAUUUAAAGAGGUACGUGAGCUGGGUUUAAAACGUCGUGAGACAGUUUGGUCCCUAUCUUCCGUGGGCGCUGCAGAUUUGAGGAAGCCUGCUCCUAGUACGAGAGGACCGGAGUGGACACACCUCUGGUGUAUCGGUUGUCACGCCAGUGGCAUUGCCGAGUAGCUAAGUGUGGAAGAGAUAACCGCUGAAAGCAUCUAAGCGGGAAACUCGUUUCAAGAUGAGAUCUGCCGGGGCCUUGAGCCCCCUGAAGAGUCGUUCAAGACCAGGACGUUGAUAGGUCAGGUGUGGAAGCGCAGUAAUGCGUUAAGCUAACUGAUACUAAUUGCUCGUGCGGCUUGACCAA
This 1297-nucleotide ribosomal RNA is filed under the name metagenome. Its description in RNAcentral is "bacterial LSU rRNA". It matches the Rfam family "Bacterial large subunit ribosomal RNA", at positions 1636 to 2925 of the family's 2925-position model. The record is from RNAcentral.